GACGAACGCUGGCGGCGUGCUUAACACAUGCAAGUCGAGCGGUAGGGCCCUGCUUUGGUGGGGUACACGAGCGGCGAACGGGUGAGUAACACGUGGGUGACCUGCCCUCAGCUCUGGGAUAAGCUUGGGAAACUGGGUCUAAUACCGGAUAGGACUGCAUCUUGCAUGGGGUGUGGUGGAAAGUUUUUUCGGCGUGGGGAGUGGCCGUGCGGCCUAUCAGCUUGUUGGUGGGGUGGAGGCUUACCAAGGCGACGACGGGUAGCCGGCCUGAGAGGGUGGUUCGGCCACACUGGGACGUGAGACACGGCCCA
This 311-nucleotide ribosomal RNA is filed under the name uncultured bacterium. RNAcentral's name for it is "bacterial SSU rRNA". It matches the Rfam family "Bacterial small subunit ribosomal RNA", at positions 28 to 333 of the family's 1533-position model. The record is from RNAcentral.